RNAcentral lists this long non-coding RNA (823 nucleotides) under Brassica napus (rape). Its description in RNAcentral is "long non-coding RNA (BNAP_LNC026481)". The record is from RNAcentral. Lineage: Eukaryota; Viridiplantae; Streptophyta; Magnoliopsida; Brassicales; Brassicaceae.
GUUACCAUCUUAAUUUGGUUAAUCUAAGUCAUUUUUUAGGUUAUAUUUAGUAGUAUAUAUUGCAAUUGUGCGCUCAUUUGGAUAUACCAAGGGGUAAAGUGCAUUUUUGUAAGUUUAGGUUCAAAUAAAGAGGACAAAUCUGUAUAUUUAAGAGUUUGGGUUCAAAUUAAAAACAAAUCUAAAUAUGAAGGGUUAAGUGAAAAUAAAAGAAGUUGUUGUGGUAACGAUAGAUCUCAGGCUCGAGUUUCAUGGGAGGAGCUUUAUCAAAGCAGAGGAUUGUGGCGAGAGAAGGUUCCGGUAGUAUGAUAAGGUCCUGGCGAGGAUCUGAAAUCAUUGAGAAGAUCUAAAAUUGUUGAUAACAAAGUGGUAUACGGCAGAUUGGAGCUUUUCGUGGCCGUGUAUAAAGUCAGAGAGAUGAAAAACCGCCGCGUGGAUAACGACAGAUUGAACCAAGAAUCUCUGUCUAUGCCGCCUCCGUCACAGUCGUCUCCGUCGCAACCGUCUACCUCUCUGUCGUCUUCUUCUGGGUCUCUGUCGUCUUCUUCUUUGUGUCUGUGUCGUAAAUUUUUUUUUUGUCACCGCGUCGUUAAUGAUUAUAGACAAUGAAACAAACACUUAGGCCAUGUUUAUCCCCUUUUUUUUUCUAAAAAGAAAAAAAAAUUAAAAAGCAAACUAAUCGCGGAUUGUCACGAGUCAGUGGGAUCCGUAAACAAGAUAAGAAAUUCACUAAAAUCGACUCUUAAUUAGUAGUUUUUAUAACCGAUCUUUAAGGGUUUUGUGGGAAUUCACGCACUAAGAACCUCGCUAAAGACUCCGGAUAAUC